CCUACGGGUGGCAGCAGUAGGGAAUAUUGCUCAAUGGGGGAAACCCUGAAGCAGCAACGCCGCGUGGAGGAUGAAGGCUUUCGGAUUGUAAACUCCUUUUGUUAGAGAAGAUAAUGACGGUAUCUAACGAAUAAGCACCGGCUAACUCCGUGCCAGCAGCCGCGGUAAUACGGAGGGUGCAAGCGUUACUCGGAAUCACUGGGCGUAAAGAGCGCGUAGGCGGGUUAGAAAGUCAGAUGUGAAAUCCUAAGGCGUAACCGUAAAACUGCAUUUGAAACUGUUAUUCUAGAGUAUAGGAGAGGUUGGGGGGAAUCGUGGUGUAGGGGUUAAAUCC
RNAcentral lists this ribosomal RNA (334 nucleotides) under uncultured bacterium. RNAcentral describes it as "partial 16S ribosomal RNA". It matches the Rfam family "Bacterial small subunit ribosomal RNA", at positions 338 to 689 of the family's 1533-position model. The record is from RNAcentral.